RNAcentral lists this unclassified non-coding RNA (323 nucleotides) under soil metagenome. RNAcentral describes it as "partial contains 5.8S ribosomal RNA, internal transcribed spacer 2, and large subunit ribosomal RNA". The stretch from base 1 to 120 matches the Rfam family "5.8S ribosomal RNA", at positions 35 to 154 of the family's 154-position model. The record is from RNAcentral.
GAUGAAGAACGCAGCGAAAUGCGAUAAGUAAUGCGAAUUGCAGAAUUCAGUGAGUCAUCGAAUCUUUGAACGCACAUUGCGCCCUGUGGUAUUCCGCAGGGCAUGCCUGUUCGAGCGUCAUUUCAACCCUCAAGCUCUGCUUGGUGUUGGGCCCUGCCCGCUGCGGCCGGCCCUAAAGACAGUGGCGGUGCCGCCUGGCCCUGAGCGUAGUACAUCUCUCGCUCCAGUGCCCGGUGGUAGCCUGCCAGAACCCCAACUCUCGUGGUUGACCUCGGAUCAGGUAGGGAUGCCCGCUGAACUUAAGCAUAUCAAUAAGCGGAGGA